UGUAAAAUAUUUGGGGGAGUGUCAUAGACAACUCCUAGCAGUUGAAGGAUGCACAGCUUCUUCGUGGUCCAUGGCAGUUGCUCUCUGAAGAGCUUCUCUUGAGAGGGAGCCUCUCAAAGAAAAGGACCAGCAAAGUGGAAGCAGCCAAGCAAACAACUUCUAAAUCGACGGGCCUGUGCAGAACCCCUUUGGUCUAAAUGAAAUCUGUAUUUUGUGAUACACUGCUGCAUCCAAUCCUUUCCAAAAAAUCUUCCAAAAUCAAUUCUCAGUUAAUGUACAAAUCUCUCGGGAGAACUUCCAAACAGGAGGAUCAGCUGGAGGU
Molecule: long non-coding RNA, 322 nt
Organism: Gavialis gangeticus (Gharial)
Lineage: Eukaryota; Metazoa; Chordata; Crocodylia; Gavialidae
Exons: 2
Source: RefSeq, a predicted model, not a curated record